This 502-nucleotide ribosomal RNA is filed under the name uncultured bacterium. RNAcentral describes it as "partial 16S ribosomal RNA". It matches the Rfam family "Bacterial small subunit ribosomal RNA", at positions 30 to 523 of the family's 1533-position model. The record is from RNAcentral.
AUUGAACGCUGGCGGAAUGCUUUACACAUGCAAGUCGAACGGCAGCAUAGGUGCUUGCACCUGAUGACGAGUGGCGAACGGGUGAGUAAUACAUCGGAACGUGCCCAGUCGUGGGGGAUAACGUAGCGAAAGUUACGCUAAUACCGCAUACGAUCUAAGGAUGAAAGCGGGGGACCGUAAGGCCUCGCGCGAUUGGAGCGGCCGAUGUCAGAUUAGGUAGUUGGUGAGGUAAAGGCUCACCAAGCCGACGAUCUGUAGCGGGUCUGAGAGGACGACCAGCCACACUGGGACUGAGACACGGCCCAGACUCCUACGGGAGGAAGCAGUGGGGAAUUUUGGACAAUGGACGCAAGUCUGAUCCAGCCAUUCCGCGUGCAGGACGAAGGCCUUCGGGUUGUAAACUGCUUUUGUACGGAACGAAAAAGCUCUUACUAAUACUAGGAGUCCAUGACGGUACCGUAAGAAUAAGCACCGGCUAACUACGUGCCAGCCGCCGCAGUAA